RNAcentral lists this non-coding RNA (23 nucleotides) under Cricetulus griseus (Chinese hamster). The record is from RNAcentral. Lineage: Eukaryota; Metazoa; Chordata; Mammalia; Rodentia; Cricetidae.
GUGAGAGGGUCAUUGCGGUAGAG